Magnolia sinica is the source of this 536-nucleotide long non-coding RNA. RefSeq lists it as uncharacterized. NCBI's taxonomy places the organism in Eukaryota, Viridiplantae, Streptophyta, Magnoliopsida, Magnoliales, Magnoliaceae. The transcript is spliced from 3 exons. The record is from RefSeq and is a predicted model, not a curated record.
AGAAAAAUAAUGCCGCCUAGAUGCCUAGCAGUGUUGAUAGCAAUCAGGUUGUAGACCUUUAUCCUAUAUAUGCAUUGACAGAUGCAGGGCUCAAAGGAGAAUAUAUAUUCCUUACAACAACAAAACAAGGAAACUUGCAAAAGCAAUGCCAAGAAAAUAUGGAUGACUUCACUCCGGAGGAGCUUCAUACUUGGAGUGUGUUUUAAGAAACAUGGCCAACAAAACCAUUAAAGUACGAUUUGUUUAUUGUCCGAAAUGUCGGAAGCUUCUAAAAGAGUUGAUCAAACAUCUGGUGAGCAAAGGUCAUUUUCAAACUUCAACAUGAUACUUGUUUUUUAGUCUGAUUUUGUACACAUUGCCCUUCUAAGAUAUUAGAAUUUUUUUUUUUUGUCACAUGCCUUUGGAACUUGAGGAAAGAUGUUAUGAGCAAACUAUGUUACCAACAAUACUUUAUUAACUGAGUUUUGGGCUGUCAGAAGGCAAACAUGCACCAGGUGGAAGUGUAGGAAGAAUAUGAAGGAUAGAAUAGAAUUAAG